RNAcentral lists this ribosomal RNA (253 nucleotides) under uncultured bacterium. RNAcentral describes it as "partial 16S ribosomal RNA". It matches the Rfam family "Bacterial small subunit ribosomal RNA", at positions 524 to 776 of the family's 1533-position model. The record is from RNAcentral.
UACGUAGGGCGCAAGCGUUGUCCGGAAUUAUUGGGCGUAAAGAGCUCGUAGGCGGUUUGUCGCGUCUGCUGUGAAAACCUAAGGCUCAACCUUGGGCUUGCAGUCGAUACGGGCAGGCUAGAAUUCGGUAGGGGAGACUGGAAUUCCUGGUGUAGCGGUGAAAUGCGCAGAUAUCAGGAGGAACACCGGUGGCGAAGGCGGGUCUCUGGGCCGAUAUUGACGCUGAGGAGCGAAAGCGUGGGGAGCGAACAGG